Molecule: ribosomal RNA, 438 nt
Filed under: uncultured bacterium
Lineage: Bacteria
Description: partial 16S ribosomal RNA
Rfam family: Bacterial small subunit ribosomal RNA
Source: RNAcentral
AACGAACGCUGGCGGCAGGCCUAACACAUGCAAGUCGAGCGGACCUUUCGGGGUCAGCGGCGGACGGGUGAGUAACGCGUGGGAAUAUGCCCUUCUCUACGGAAUAGUCCUGGGAAACUGGGGGUAAUACCGUAUACGCCCUUUGGGGGAAAGAUUUAUCGGGGAAGGAUUAGCCCGCGUUGGAUUAGGUAGUUGGUGGGGUAAUGGCCUACCAAGCCGACGAUCCAUAGCUGGUUUGAGAGGAUGAUCAGCCACACUGGGACUGAGACACGGCCCAGACGCAUACGGGAGGCAGCAGGGGGUAAUAUUGCCGAAUGGGCGGAAGCCUGAUGCAGCACCUCCGCGUGCGGGAUGACGGACGUCGGGUUGUAAACCGCUUUCGCCUGUGCCGAAGCGUGAGUGACGGUAAUGGGUAAAGAAGCACCGGCUAACUACGUG